GUCUAUUUGAAGAUAUAAAAAGUCUGGCCUGCCCACUGAUAAAUUUUAAAGGGCCGCGGUAAUUUGACCGUGCAAAGGUAGCAUAAUCGUUAGUUUUUUAAUUGAAAUCUUGUAUGAAUGGUUGAACAAAAGAAUAUCUGUCUCUAUAUCUUUUUUGAAUUUAACUUUUAAGUGAAAAGGCUUAAAUAUUUUAAAAAGACGAUAAGACCCUAUAAAGCUUGAUGAACUUUUUUAUUUAGUUUAAUUUUUAUAUAAAAAUUAAGUAAUUGAAAUUCAUUUUGUUGGGGCGACAAUAAUAUAAUGUUUAUUAACUGUUAAUGUUUAAGACAAAAAUAAUAAAUGAUUAAUGAAAUAUAAAUGAUCCUUUUUAAAGAUUAAAAGUUUAAGUUACUUUAGGGAUAACAGCGUUAUUUUUUUUGAGAGUCCAUAUCGAAAAAAAAGUUUGCGACCUCGAUGUUGAAUUAAAAUUUCUUUAUAAUUGUAGCAGUUAUAAAAGAAGGUCUGUUCGACCUUUAAAUUUUUACAUGAUUUGAGUUCAAACCGGCGUGAG
This 550-nucleotide ribosomal RNA is filed under the name Minuca ecuadoriensis. Its description in RNAcentral is "partial 16S rRNA". It matches the Rfam family "Bacterial large subunit ribosomal RNA", at positions 1819 to 2625 of the family's 2925-position model. Lineage: Eukaryota; Metazoa; Arthropoda; Malacostraca; Decapoda; Ocypodidae. The record is from RNAcentral.